UACGUAGGGGGCUAGCGUUAUCCAGAUUUACUGGGCGUAAAGCGCGUGUAGGCGGCUGGUUAGGUGUGAUGUGAAAUCCUCGGGCUCAACCCGAGAACUGCAUUGCAAACCGGCCUGGCUAGAGUGCAGGAGAGGGAAGCGGAAUUCCAGGUGUAGCGGUGAAAUUCGUAGAUAUCCGGAGGAACACCGGUGGCGAAGGCGGCUUCCUGGACCGACACUGACGCUGAGGCGCGAAAGCUAGGGGAGCAAACAGG
RNAcentral lists this ribosomal RNA (254 nucleotides) under uncultured bacterium. RNAcentral describes it as "partial 16S ribosomal RNA". It matches the Rfam family "Bacterial small subunit ribosomal RNA", at positions 524 to 776 of the family's 1533-position model. The record is from RNAcentral.